UGGAGUCGUUAAAAUUCCCAUGUCAAUAGCAAGAGCAUCAACAAUUGAAUUGAUUCCUUGUUUAGCGGCUUCAAGAAGAGAUUCACCACUAGGCCUUGUGUCUCUUCCCAACAAUAUCUCUGCUGACCGCACUCCAUCAAAAGGGAUGUUUUCCUUCUUUACAAAUUCAUCUAUCAACUGAAGAAGAUGUUGGGGAGUGGCAGCAUUGGCGAUAGCAUCAGCGAAAGGUUCCCAGUCUGGAGUGAGCAUACCACCACUUGGGUCAGCAACUUUGAUUCCA
RNAcentral lists this unclassified non-coding RNA (280 nucleotides) under Hevea brasiliensis (rubber tree). The record is from RNAcentral. Lineage: Eukaryota; Viridiplantae; Streptophyta; Magnoliopsida; Malpighiales; Euphorbiaceae.